CUUCAGCUUUGGCCAACAGAGACGUCAGCCUUGGCAAGGCCUCUGGACAGUGGUCAGACUCACUGCUGAUGGUGUUCUGUUCCUACUCUGGGCUCAUCCAUUAUGCAGGAGGGUGGACAGAGUACCAGGCCUGCUUGAUGCAAGCCUUCAAUGAUAUCACCCCAAAGGGCUCAGAGGCUACAGCCGGGUAAAGAGGAUGAGCGCAGCACGGGGACAGAGGAGGCUGAAGUAGCAGAACAGAAAGGCCAGGCCCACGGUGUGACAGACAAGCCCAUAUGGCGCUGGAUUGAGGAAGAAAACCGAAACAAAGGAAAGAAAUGUAGGAGAUCGUUCCGAUUCCAGUUCAACUCUGGCCUCGCCUUUCCUAGCUCAUGGCUUAGGACUCUCCCCAUCCUCCCUCCAUCCUCACUCUGGGACAGGCAUGGCCCUGCUCUUUGUACUAGGCUGCAUCUUCUUCCCCUUGAGCUUCACUCUCCUCUGUUGGAGCCUGCAGCACCACGCCAACGUGCAGAUGGAGAGACCACAGGCUGUUUUG
Molecule: long non-coding RNA, 535 nt
Organism: Condylura cristata (star-nosed mole)
Lineage: Eukaryota; Metazoa; Chordata; Mammalia; Eulipotyphla; Talpidae
Exons: 4
Source: RefSeq, a predicted model, not a curated record